UCUAGAAAAUAAAUUGAUAUAUAAAAUAUUUACCUGAGUACUACGAAUUAAGAAAAAUUUAAAACUCAAAGAGUUUGGCGGUGCUUUAGACCACCUAGGGGAACUUGUCUCAUAAUCGAUAAUCCACGUUAUACCUUACUUUUUUUUGCAUUCAGUUUGUAUACCGUCGUCAUCAGGUAACUUUUAAGAUUAUAGAAGUUAGCUAGAAAGCCAAAUAAUCUUCUAUGUCAGAUCAAGGUGCAACCUACAAAAAAGAAGAGAUGAGUUACAAUUAUCAAUUUAUAUUGGAUAUAUAAAUGAAAUAAAAUAUUAAAAUAGGACUUAGAAGUAUAAUAACAAAUAUAUAAAUAAUUAGAAUUUGGCUCUGAAGCGUGCACAUAUCGCCCGUCGCUCUCGUCGAAAGAGGAGAUAAGUCGUAACAUAGUAGGGGUAAUGGAAAUUGCCCCUAAAUCAAU
This 455-nucleotide ribosomal RNA is filed under the name Crepidula fornicata. RNAcentral's name for it is "partial 12S ribosomal RNA". It matches the Rfam family "Microsporidia small subunit ribosomal RNA", at positions 752 to 1303 of the family's 1311-position model. Lineage: Eukaryota; Metazoa; Mollusca; Gastropoda; Littorinimorpha; Calyptraeidae. The record is from RNAcentral.